AGAGUUUGAUCCUGGCUCAGGAUGAACGCUGGCGGCGUGCUUAACACAUGCAAGUCGAACGAGGUCCAUCCAAACUUGUUUGGGGAAGAUCUAGUGGCGAACGGGUGCAUAACACGUGAGAAACCUGCCUCAGUCUCUGGGAUAACAGUUGGAAACGACUGCUAAUACCGGAUGCCGUCACACCAUCACAUGUUGGAGUGACGAAAGAUUUAUCGGAUUGAGAGGGUCUCGCGGCCUAUCAGCUAGUUGGAGAGGUAACGGCUCACCAAGGCAUCGACGGGUAGCUGGUCUGAGAGGAUGAUCAGCCACACUGGGACUGAGACACGGCCCAGACUCCUACGGGAGGCAGCAGUGGGGAAUCUUGCACAAUGGGCGAAAGCCUGAUGCAGCAACGCCGCGUGCGGGAAGAAGGCCCUAGGGUUGUAAACCGCUUUCAGUANGGAAGAAACAUGACGGUACCUACAGAAGCAACGGUGCGGCCAACUACGUGCCAGCAGCCGCGGUGACACGUAGGCACCAAGCGUUAUCCCGGAUUUAUUGGGCGUAAAGAGCUCGUAGGCGGUUCGGUAAAGUCGGGUGUGAAAAACUCUGGGCUCAAACCCAGAAGAGGCCACCCGAUACUGCUGUUGACUAGAGUGCCGGCAAGGGAGCCGGGGGAAUUCCUUGGUUGUAGCCGGUGAACAUGCGCAGAUAUCAGGAGGAAACACCAGCGG
RNAcentral lists this ribosomal RNA (713 nucleotides) under uncultured bacterium. RNAcentral's name for it is "bacterial SSU rRNA". It matches the Rfam family "Bacterial small subunit ribosomal RNA", at positions 8 to 715 of the family's 1533-position model. The record is from RNAcentral.